RNAcentral lists this ribosomal RNA (491 nucleotides) under Bacillus sp. (in: firmicutes). Its description in RNAcentral is "bacterial SSU rRNA". It matches the Rfam family "Bacterial small subunit ribosomal RNA", at positions 61 to 534 of the family's 1533-position model. Lineage: Bacteria; Bacillati; Bacillota; Bacilli; Caryophanales; Bacillaceae. The record is from RNAcentral.
GUCGAGCGGAUCGAUGGGAGCUUGCUCCCUGAGAUCAGCGGCGGACGGGUGAGUAACACGUGGGUAACCUGCCUGUAAGACUGGGAUAACUCCGGGAAACCGGGGCUAAUACCGGAUAACUCAGUUCCUCGCAUGAGGAACUGUUGAAAGGUGGCUUCUGCUACCACUUACAGAUGGACCCGCGGCGCAAUAACUAGUUGGUGAGGUAACGGCUCACCAAGGGAACGAUGCGUAACCGAACUGGGAGGGUGAUCGGCCACACUGGGACUGAAACACGGCCCAAACUCCUACGGGAGGCAGCAGUAGGGAAUCUUCCGCAAUGGACGAAAGUCUGACGGAACAACGCCCCGUGGGUGAAGAAGGUUUUCGGAUCGUAAAACUCUGUUGGUAGGGAAGAACAAGUGGCGUUCGAAUAGGGCGGCACCUUGACGGUACCUAACCAGAAAGCCACGGCUAACUACGUGCCAGCAGCCGCGGUAAUACCUAAGUGG